Non-coding RNA from Carassius gibelio (silver crucian carp), 930 nucleotides. The record is from the annotation of a RefSeq genome assembly. Lineage: Eukaryota; Metazoa; Chordata; Actinopteri; Cypriniformes; Cyprinidae.
UGAGUCUCCAGCUAAAACUAAAGUUUUCAACUGUCAUCAUUUUUAACAGAAUGUUUCCUGUCCAUUUUACAAUUUCAGGCUCACAGGAGGAUUGAUGAUAGACAGAGUGACACCAUGAACUCUGAUUAGAGAUUUACAGUCAGUCCUGAUACUUUAUGAUCAAACUCACAAUUCACUCUCUUCUUCUAGUGGUGUUGAUUCAUCUAAUAGAAUUUAUAGAGUAAUAUAUUCUGUAACUCUAGUCUAGUAUAUCAGUCUUGUAGCAGCUCGAUCUGUUGUGAAUCCUGCCCACUUCUUUGCAUCAUCAGCACAUGCUUCAGUGCUCUGAGAGAGUUUAUAGUGCUGUGAGUUUAACACUUCAUGACUGAGAGCAGAACAGAACACAAUCUUCAUCAUCACACAAGACACAACAACAACAAUGAACAACAUCAUCAUCCUCAUCUGGACUCUCACACUGUUUGCUCAAGAGAGUAGAGGACAGUACACUGUAACUCAGAGUCCAUCAAUAACAGCAGCUCAACCAGGACAAGAAGUCAGAAUAAACUGUAAAAGCAGCAGUAAUGUCUACAGUGAUAGUAAUGGCUUAUGGUUGAGCUGGUAUUUACAGAAACCUGGAGAAGCUCCUAAACUCCUCAUAUAUUAUGCAACAACCCGUUACACUGGAACUCCAUCUAGAUUCAGUGGCAGUGGAUCUAACAGUGAUUUCUCUCUGACCAUCAGUGGAGUCCAGACUGAAGAUACAGGAGAUUAUUACUGUCUGAGUUUCCACUAUCCAAACAGUAAAUAUGUGUUCACACAGUGAUAAAGAGUCGUACAAAAACCUCCGUCAGUCAGAGUCACAGUGACUGCACUGAUACAGCUGAGAGAUACUGCAGCUGCUGAUGAACACAAUCACACACAACACUGAUCAACACAAACACUAAUAACACA